AAAUGAAUUGACGGGGACCCGCACAAGCAGCGGAGCGUGUUGUUUAAUUCGAAGAUACUCGAAGAACCUUACCAAGACUUGACAUCGCCUGACAGGCGCAGAAAUGCGUUUUCCAUAGCAAUAUGGCAGGUAGACAGGUGGUGCAUGGUUGUCGUCAGCUCGUGUCGUGAGAUGUUGGGUUAAGUCCCGCAACGAGCGCAACCCUUACGGACAGUUGCCAAUAUUAAGUUAGGAACUCUGGCCGGACUGCCGUGGAUAUAACACGGAGGAAGGCGGGGAUGACGUCAAAUCAUCAUGCCCCUUACGUCUUGGGCUACAAACGCGCUACAAUGGCGGUUACAAAGAGCAGCGAAAUUGUGAAAUGGAGCAAAUCUCAAAAAAGCCGUCUCAGUUCAGAUUGUGGGCUGCAACCCGCCCACAUGAAGAUGGAGUUGCUAGUAAUCACGGAUCAGCAUGCCGUGGUGAAUGCGUUCCCGGGUCUUGUACACACCGCCCGU
This 497-nucleotide ribosomal RNA is filed under the name uncultured bacterium. Its description in RNAcentral is "bacterial SSU rRNA". It matches the Rfam family "Bacterial small subunit ribosomal RNA", at positions 903 to 1397 of the family's 1533-position model. The record is from RNAcentral.